Molecule: ribosomal RNA, 460 nt
Filed under: uncultured bacterium
Lineage: Bacteria
Description: partial 16S ribosomal RNA
Rfam family: Bacterial small subunit ribosomal RNA
Source: RNAcentral
CCUACGGGAGGCAGCAGUGAGGAAUAUUGGUCAAUGGCCGGAAGGCUGAACCAGCCAUGCCGCGUGAAGGUCAGUGCCCUAUGGGCGUUAAACUUCUUUUGUGCGGGAGCAAUAAUGGUCACGUGUGGCCAGACGAGAGUACCGUACGAAUAAGCAUCGGCUAACUCCGUGCCAGCAGCCGCGGUAAUACGGGGGAUGCAAGCGUUAUCCGGAUUUAUUGGGUUUAAAGGGUGCGUAGGCUGUGAGGUAAGUCAGCGGUGAAAUGCCCCCGCUCAACGGGUUGAAGUGCCAUUGAUACUGCCUUGCUGGAAUGCGGAUGCAGUGGGAGGAAUGUGUGGUGUAGCGGUGAAAUGCAUAGAGAUCACACAGAACACCGAUUGCGAAGGCAGCUCACGAAUCCGCGAUUGACGCUGAUGCACGAAAGCGUGGGUAUCAAACAGGAUUAGAUACCCCAGUAGUC